Molecule: transfer RNA, 70 nt
Filed under: Dipodomys ordii (Ord's kangaroo rat)
Lineage: Eukaryota; Metazoa; Chordata; Mammalia; Rodentia; Heteromyidae
Rfam family: tRNA
About the family: Transfer RNA (tRNA) molecules are approximately 80 nucleotides in length. Their secondary structure includes four short double-helical elements and three loops (D, anti-codon, and T loops). Further hydrogen bonds mediate the characteristic L-shaped molecular structure. tRNAs have two regions of fundamental functional importance: the anti-codon, which is responsible for specific mRNA codon recognition, and the 3' end, to which the tRNAs corresponding amino acid is attached (by aminoacyl-tRNA synthetases). tRNAs cope with the degeneracy of the genetic code in two manners: having more than one tRNA (with a specific anti-codon) for a particular amino acid; and 'wobble' base-pairing, i.e. permitting non-standard base-pairing at the 3rd anti-codon position.
Source: Rfam by way of RNAcentral
GGAAAUGUGGCCUAGUGGUAGAGUGCUUGCCUAGCAUGCAUGAAGCCCUGGGUUCAAUUCCUCAGUACCA